GAUAGAAGUAAAAGAGAAAGAAUUAAAAGGUUUAGAAACGGUACGGUUGUUGUUGUUGUUGAAAAACUUACAUAAGUCUAAGAAGAAAGUUAUUACAAAUACAAGAAAGCCUCCUUGGCCAGCGCGUGUCGCUGUGUCUGGUCAAGGAGGGCAGAGAGCGUAAACAAGAUGAAGAUACAGACAUACAUUUUUGUUCGUUCUCGC
Molecule: non-coding RNA, 204 nt
Organism: Paramuricea clavata
Lineage: Eukaryota; Metazoa; Cnidaria; Anthozoa; Malacalcyonacea; Plexauridae
Source: the annotation of a GenBank genome assembly